UGUUUCGGCAAGGGGGUCAUCCCGACUUACCAACCCGAUGCAAACUGCGAAUACCGGAGAAUGUUAUCACGGGAGACACACGGCGGGUGCUAACGUCCGUCGUGAAGAGGGAAACAACCCAGACCGCCAGCUAAGGUCCCAAAGUCAUGGUUAAGUGGGAAACGAUGUGGGAAGGCCCAGACAGCCAGGAUGUUGGCUUAGAAGCAGCCAUCAUUUAAAGAAAGCGUAAUAGCUCACUGGUCGAGUCGGCCUGCGCGGAAGAUGUAACGGGGCUAAACCAUG
RNAcentral lists this ribosomal RNA (282 nucleotides) under Escherichia coli. RNAcentral's name for it is "partial 23S ribosomal RNA". It matches the Rfam family "Bacterial large subunit ribosomal RNA", at positions 911 to 1191 of the family's 2925-position model. The record is from RNAcentral. Lineage: Bacteria; Pseudomonadati; Pseudomonadota; Gammaproteobacteria; Enterobacterales; Enterobacteriaceae. RNAcentral also lists the same sequence under 1 other name.